GUCCCCGUAACUCAGUCGGUCAGAGUGUGGGUCUUAUGUGCCUAAAGUCGUGAGUUCAAACCUCACCGGGGACA
This 74-nucleotide transfer RNA is filed under the name bacterium. RNAcentral describes it as "tRNA-Ile". It matches the Rfam family "tRNA". Rfam says of the family: Transfer RNA (tRNA) molecules are approximately 80 nucleotides in length. Their secondary structure includes four short double-helical elements and three loops (D, anti-codon, and T loops). The record is from RNAcentral.